GAUGAAGAACGUAGCGAAAUGCGAUAAGUAAUGCGAAUUGCAGAAUUUCCGUGAGUCAUCGAAUCUUUGAACGCACAUUGCGCCCACUGGUAUUCCGGUGGGCAUGCCUGUUCGAGCGUCAUUAUCCUCCCUCAAACCCCGGGUUUGGUGUUGGACCCAAGUUGUGUGAACAACUGGUCUUAAAGACAAUGACGGCGUCCGUGGGACCCUCGGUGCAACGAGCUUUUAGGAGCACGCAUCGAGUUGCAAGGACCUUCCGGGCCGGUCUCAUUUACUAUUUUACAAGGUUGACCUCGGAUCAGGUAGGAAUACCCGCUGAACUUAAGCAUAUCAAUAAGCGGAGGA
Molecule: unclassified non-coding RNA, 345 nt
Filed under: soil metagenome
Description: partial contains 5.8S ribosomal RNA, internal transcribed spacer 2, and large subunit ribosomal RNA
Rfam family: 5.8S ribosomal RNA (bases 1-121)
Source: RNAcentral